This 336-nucleotide ribosomal RNA is filed under the name Limnodrilus hoffmeisteri. Its description in RNAcentral is "partial 16S ribosomal RNA". It matches the Rfam family "Bacterial large subunit ribosomal RNA", at positions 1945 to 2517 of the family's 2925-position model. Lineage: Eukaryota; Metazoa; Annelida; Clitellata; Tubificida; Naididae. The record is from RNAcentral.
ACCGUGCAAAGGUAGCAUAAUCAUUUGCCUAUUAAUUGUAGGCUAGUAUGAAUGGACAAACGCGAACUAUACUGUCUCCUUUAGGAUAUUAAAAAUUUAUAUUUAAGUGAAGAAGCUUAAAUACAUUCGCAGGACAAGAAGACCCUAUAGAGCUUUACCAUAAACCUUAUCGUAAAUAAGCUAAUUGGUUCGGUUGGGGCGACCAAGGAACAUCAAUCAUCCUUAAUUAUUAAGAUUWACUAAUCACAAAAAAGAUCCUCUUUGGAGAUCACAGAAUCAAGCUACCUUAGGGAUAACAGGCUAAUUCCUCUAGAGAGCCCUUAUUGACAGAGGAGG